GAGCUAGAGUUCGAUCGUGGCUCGGUGAGAUGUAGCUUGCUACAUUUCCUAGCGGCGGACGGGUGAGUAAUGCUUAGGAAUCUGCCUAUUAGUGGGGGACAACAUUCCGAAAGGAAUGCUAAUACCGCAUACGCCCUACGGGGGAAAGCAGGGGAUCUUCGGACCUUGCGCUAAUAGAUGAGCCUAAGUCAGAUUAGCUAGUUGGUGGGGUAAAGGCCUACCAAGGCGACGAUCUGUAGCGGGUCUGAGAGGAUGAUCCGCCACACUGGGACUGAGACACGGCCCAGACUCCUACGGGAGGCAGCAGUGGGGAAUAUUGGACAAUGGGCGAAAGCCUGAUCCAGCCAUGCCGCGUGUGUGAAGAAGGCCUUUUGGUUGUAAAGCACUUUAAGCGAGGAGGAGGCUACUUGGAUUAAUACUCUAGGAUAGUGGACGUUACUCGCAGAAUAAGCACCGGCUAACUCUGUGCCAGCAGCCGCGGUAAUACAGAGGGUGCGAGCGUUAAUCGGAUUUACUGGGCGUAAAGCGUGCGUAGGCGGCUUUUUAAGUCGGAUGUGAAAUCCCUGAGCUUAACUUAGGAAUUGCAUUCGAUACUGGGAAGCUAGAGUAUGGGAGAGGAUGGUAGAAUUCCAGGUGUAGCGGUGAAAUGCGUAGAGAUCUGGAGGAAUACCGAUGGCGAAGGCAGCCAUCUGGCCUAAUACUGACGCUGAGGUACGAAAGCAUGGGGAGCAAACAGGAUUAGAUACCCUGGUAGUCCAUGCCGUAAACGAUGUCUACUAGCCGUUGGGGCCUUUGAGGCUUUAGUGGCGCAGCUAACGCGAUAAGUAGACCGCCUGGGGAGUACGGUCGCAAGACUAAAACUCAAAUGAAUUGACGGGGGCCCGCACAAGCGGUGGAGCAUGUGGUUUAAUUCGAUGCAACGCGAAGAACCUUACCUGGUCUUGACAUAGUAAGAACUUUCCAGAGAUGGAUUGGUGCCUUCGGGAACUUACAUACAGG
Molecule: ribosomal RNA, 999 nt
Filed under: bacterium enrichment culture clone GYM5
Lineage: Bacteria
Description: bacterial SSU rRNA
Rfam family: Bacterial small subunit ribosomal RNA
Source: RNAcentral